RNAcentral lists this small RNA (907 nucleotides) under Pan troglodytes (chimpanzee). Its description in RNAcentral is "retained intron". Lineage: Eukaryota; Metazoa; Chordata; Mammalia; Primates; Hominidae. The record is from RNAcentral.
UGCACUAUUUAAAAAAUAAUAGGGUUAGGCCGGGUACAGUGGCUCACUCUUGUAACUCCAGCACUUUAGGAGGCCAAGGCAGGAGGAUUCCUUGAGCUCAGGAGUUUGUGACAAGCCUAGGCAACAUCAUGAGAGCCUGUCUGUAUAAAAAAUUUUAAAAUUAGCCAUGCAUGGUGGUGUGUGCGUGUGGUCCCAGCUACUAGGGAGGCUGAGGUGGGAUGAUCACUUGAGCCCAAAAAGUCGAGGCUGCAGUAAGCCGUGAUCACACCACUGCACUCAAGCUUGGGCAACAGAGUGGGAUCCUGUCUCAAAAAAAAAAAAAAUUAGUAAUAACUUUAUAGGAUAUAAUAUAUAAUAAAAUUCACCCUUUAUUUUAUUUUUCUAUUUAUUGUUAUUAUUUUUGAGAUAGGUUCUCCCUCUGUCACCCAGAGCUGGAGUGCGGUGGCAUAAUCACAGCUAAUUGCAGCCUCAACAUUCCAGGCCCAAGGAUCCUCCCUUCAGCCUUCCAGAGUCGGGGUCUCCCUAUGUUUCCCAGGCUGGCCUCGAACUCCUGACCUCAAGUGAUCCUCCCACCUCAGCCUCCCAGAGUGCUGGGAUUAAAGACGUGAGCCACGGCACCUGGCCUGAAUUUUCCUCAAAUUCAAAAAAUGCUGAUGAAGGUUUGGCUAAAAUCUUUGGUGAGUUACCCCACUCCCUGUGGAACCUCAGGCUGGAUUUGAAGAGUUGCGUGCAUGGUCCUCAUUGUCUCCCAGGUAACCUGUUCCCGCUGCUGUGAAGGGAAGGCAGGUGCUCUUCCUUGAGGCUAGAAUCUGUCUACGUGUCACAGUCUCAGGAAAUUAAGCAAAACAGAUGAUAAACACCUCAAAAGGACCCUACUGAGCAUGAGUGGAGCAGACCAGGGCCAUAU